This 209-nucleotide ribosomal RNA is filed under the name Vibrio parahaemolyticus. RNAcentral's name for it is "partial 16S ribosomal RNA". It matches the Rfam family "Bacterial small subunit ribosomal RNA", at positions 1 to 207 of the family's 1533-position model. Lineage: Bacteria; Pseudomonadati; Pseudomonadota; Gammaproteobacteria; Vibrionales; Vibrionaceae. The record is from RNAcentral.
AAAUUGAAGAGUUUGAUCAUGGCUCAGAUUGAACGCUGGCGGCAGGCCUAACACAUGCAAGUCGAGCGGAAACGAGUUAUCAGAACCUUCGGGGAACGAUAGCGGCGUCGAGCGGCGGACGGGUGAGUAAUGCCUAGGAAAUUGCCCUGAUGUGGGGGAUAACCAUUGGAAACGAUGGCUAAUACCGCAUGAUGCCUACGGGCCAAAGA